This 261-nucleotide ribosomal RNA is filed under the name Olea europaea subsp. europaea. RNAcentral's name for it is "LSU_rRNA_bacteria". The record is from RNAcentral. Lineage: Eukaryota; Viridiplantae; Streptophyta; Magnoliopsida; Lamiales; Oleaceae.
UAUUAAGGUUGACCGGUGAGGUGAUGAAAGAUAUGCUUCAUCGUCGAGAAGAAAAUAACCUAGAUCGCCAGCUAAGACCCAUAAAUCAUCGCUCACUAAUAAAAAAGAUAAGGCUGUAGAUACAAUCAGGAAGGUGGUUUGCAUAGAAGUUGUCACCCCUAAAAGAGUGAGAAAUGGCUUAUUGAUUGAGCACUCUUGCGCCGAAGAUGGACGGGCUAGGCAGACAUGAAAAUGUAUGGUUAAAAAGUUGAUAACAUUUUU